Triticum dicoccoides is the source of this 2915-nucleotide long non-coding RNA. RefSeq lists it as uncharacterized. Lineage: Eukaryota; Viridiplantae; Streptophyta; Magnoliopsida; Poales; Poaceae. The transcript has 9 exons. The record is from RefSeq and is a predicted model, not a curated record.
UCUGUUGCCCUCGAGCGAGAAACAGUUGCCCAACUCUGUGCCCUCGUUCGCCGCCGCCGCCCUUCGUCCCCUCACCACCACCGCUAGAUCCCUUCGCCGCCGCUCGGUGCCGCCAGCCCCCGACCUCCUCCCCGGCUCCCGGCGCCGCCCGUCCUCCAUCUGCUCCCCCGAUCCCGGCUAAGCCCGGCCCCCACCUUCUCUCUCACUCUCGGCGGCGAUCCCCGUGGUGUCCCCGGAUCGGAGGCCGUCGAGGAUGUAGAGCGCCGGGAGCGCGGCGCCGACGAGGAACCCCCCAUGAUGUGCGCGGCGAGGAGGAGGCGCUCGGCGCCGACGAGCAGAUGCAGGCGCAGAUCGAGCGGGUACUGCCGCCGCGCACCGGCAAGUGCAGGUACCUGCCUGCCCGCCCGUUUCUUCCUCUCAACGCGAGACUGGAGGCUGAUCUUGGCGGUGAGGAGACGGUGGCGGCGCCGACGAACUGUCCCCCUUGGCACCGUUGCCGCUGGGCACCGAGACAAAGGAGUGCUGGAUGCCAACGCCUCGAGGCCUGCCUCAAGUACAGAUCAUCAGCGGCAAAUAUUCAAUCAACAUACGACCACUGAGGGGAUCCAUCGGUGUAUGAAUGAUGAAGGAGAAGAGCAAAGAACACAAAUCUUCCCCACGGCUAUUGAUUUUAUGCACAUCGGCUGCAUCAUGUGAUAUGGUAAACCAACAGAGGUAUGUGGAUAAUCCAAACUGCUUAUUUUUCGUCCGACACCGCCCCACCUUCAGUGACCUGAUUGCUAGCAAAAUGUCACAACAGGUUUGUUUCGAAGUAUCAGUUCAAAAUAUGGCGAUUGAAUAAAAAACACUAUCUUAUUUUUUAUCUCACGGAUCAUACUUUAAAGUUAAUAAUUUUUAUAAUGCUCCGUAAUAGAUUCGUGUUGGUUGUGUAAUUCUUGAGUGAGUUACAUGUUCUCUCCAUCACCCCCUUUAUUUUUUGCAAAUCAAUUGCCUUCUUCAUGUGUUUCAGCUGCUAGGACUGAAGGCCGAAGUAAUGUAUGUUUAAUCUCAGCAAUUUAGUUAUAAGUCUAAUUAAUUCAUACCAUCUCUGAAACAUUCAGUUCUAAUUGGUUGCAUACUUGCCAAAGAUCGUAUGACACAAUAGCCAUGGACGCCACAUCAGCUUGGGAACAUGGCCACAACAGAUUGGUAUCUUCUCUUCUGAAAUUGGUUGCAUACUUGCCAAAGGUCGCAUGACUCAGCAGCCAUGGACGCCACAUCUGCCUGGGAAUGUGGCCGCAACAGAUUGGUAUCUUCUUUUCUGAAAUCCAAUAGCAGCCGUCCAUUUGUUUGCUGAUAUGCCUGACUGAAUUUGCAAAGAGUUAUCAAGUCUGUAUUUGCGAGAGUUUCUCAUUGUCUGAUUGACGUGACUAUCAAGUAUUUGUUGGAUGGCAACUCUAAGCUGCAUGUUCAUUGGGAGAAUCAUGAUGAAUCUUUGAUGAACACUGUCAAAGAUGAAAAGGCGAAUUCUUCGAUUCCCCGGGCUGUCAGGGAUUUUGUACUUCCAGCAGGUUUUCUAGUUUCUUGUAGGUUCCUGCAUAAGAGGUCAUUAUUGCAGAGUUGGAGACUGACACUAUGUUUAUCAGUACAUGCUAUUGGAAUUCCCAACAAACUUGACAGGAUGGAUUAGUCACACGUUGGUUACAUCAAGUCUUCUAAAGUACUAACAGGAAUAUCCUGCCUUCACUGCAUCGGUGGAUCACGCGGAAUCUCUGGGCACAUGGAGCAUUGCCAAAACCAGCGCCAGGGUGGCGCUCAGCUGACCCCCCGACGUUGGUUCCACAAAAACACAUGGGGAGGGGAACUAUAUGUUACAAUCUGAAAAUGGCUAAGGAGACAUCAGAUCUACCUUCUUGGCUCGGAGGGUGUCAUAGGUGGCGCACAACUCCCCCCUAUCGACAGAAACACAUGGGGAGGGGAACAAAACGGAGAGCGGGGCGGUUGGCGGGGGACUCCUCGGCGGUCCGUGGGGAAAUACAAUGUGAAGAAGAGAGUGCGACAUGACAAAGGUAUUUACCUAGAUCCUUGAGAUGCUAUUCGUAUUGGCCUGAAUGCAGUUGAGUUCUGAAUCAUAAACAAGCUGGGAGAUUUGUCUUCCACAUAUUUUUAGUGCAUGCUCGGAGAACAAGAUAAGAGGAGAGGCUUGAAUCUUGAGAUGACAAGGGUAGUCACCUGCUGCGACUAAAGGAAGGAGGUCAAUGAAGCAAAAUGCACGAAAAGGAAGGAGCAGCGCCACAGGGACGAUGUUGUCGGCAGCGCUUUGGAAGGAUUCGCUCCAGAGAAGUUACGGUAGUCGGCCAUCGCCCAGGGGAAGCAGGGAGGAUGUCGUUCGAAACGCCUGGGUCUAGAGGAGUGUGUCCAGGUGGUGGCCGAGGAUGGCGACGAGCAAUUGGGUUGGGCAUUUAUCAACGUGAUGGCGUCGUUGCUCAAGACUUGAAAGGAGAAAAUAUUGGCAAAAAGUCCCUCAAAAUUUGUAGUCUGGGUGUAGAAGGUUUGGGGAUUUUGAGCCGGAUGGGCCAUUGAUGGUUGCGGUUGGCUUGGACAGGGAAUGUAGAGAUAGUAAGUGAAGAGGAGCAGGAGAACGAAGACGAAGAAGAAUAGUGGUUUAUAGGUAGAAAAAAAUUAAGAAUGUUGCUUAAUGUGCAUGAGGAUCCAAACAAUGUAUAUUUGACACGAUUAAAGUUGACUCAUGUCGAGCCUCGGGAUGGUGGUGGAGCGGUCAUGGUGGACGGUUAUUAUGCAAGAAUUUGUUAAACGCAUCAAAUAGAUAUUAAUUUGUAACAAAUUUUUAGUUUGAUCAUCGCACUAUAUGUAUGCAUUGUCAAAUUGCCUUUUAUUAACAGUUUACAAUGUAAGUGAAGUGGACUUAAAUUAUU